Anastrepha obliqua is the source of this 203-nucleotide small nuclear RNA. RefSeq annotates it as U2 spliceosomal RNA. Lineage: Eukaryota; Metazoa; Arthropoda; Insecta; Diptera; Tephritidae. The transcript has a single exon. The record is from RefSeq and is a predicted model, not a curated record.
AUGUAUUGAGUUUGUUGGUUUUGUAUGGUUAUCUUAUCAGCGUAACAUCUGAUAGAUCCUCUAUCGGAGGACAACAAAUGUUAAACUGAUUUUUGGAAAUGGGCGGAUUUUUGGAAAUGGGCGGAGUGUUUUAAGGGCUUGGUCCACCUCUGCCACGGGUUGGCCCGGUAUUGCAGUACCGCCGGGAUUUUGGCCUUGAAUAA